AUUGAACGCUGGCGGAAUGCUUUACACAUGCAAGUCGAACGAUGAAGUCUAGCUUGCUAGACGGAUUAGUGGCGAACGGGUGAGUAAUAUAUCGGAACGUAUCCAUUAAUGGGGGAUAACUAGUCGAAAGAUUGGCUAAUACCGCAUACGUCCUACGGGAGAAAGCUGGGGAUCGUAAGACCUGGCGUUAAUGGAGCGGCCGAUAUCUGAUUAGCUAGUUGGGGAGGUAAAGGCUCACCAAGGCGACGAUCAGUAGCUGGUCUGAGAGGACGACCAGCCACACUGGAACUGGGACACGGUCCAGACUCCUACGGGAGGCAGCAGUGGGGAAUUUUGGACAAUGGGCGAAAGCCUGAUCCAGCCAUUCCGCGUGAGUGAAGAAGGCCUUCGGGUUGUAAAGCUCUUUCGCAAGGGAAGAAAACUUAUCCUCUAACAUAGGGUGAGGUUGACGGUACCUUGAUAAGAAGCACCGGCUAACUACGUGCCAGCCGCCGCCGUAA
Molecule: ribosomal RNA, 500 nt
Filed under: uncultured bacterium
Lineage: Bacteria
Description: partial 16S ribosomal RNA
Rfam family: Bacterial small subunit ribosomal RNA
Source: RNAcentral